ACUCCUACGGGAGGCAGCAGGUGGGGAAUAUUGCAGCAAUGGGCGCAAGCCUGGAUGCAGCCAUGCCGCGUGUAUGAAGAAGGCCUUCGGGUUGUAAAGAUACUUUUCAGCAGUGAGGAAGGUGGGUAUGUUAAUAGCAUAUCUUCAUUUGACGUUAGCUGCAGAAGAAGCACCGGCUAACUCCGUGCCAGCAGCCGCGGUAAUACGGAGGGUGCGAGCGUUAAUCGGAAUUACUGGGCGUAAAGCGCAUGCAGGUGGUUUGUUAAGUCAGAUGUGAAAGCCCGGGGCUCAACCUCGGAAUUGCAUUUUGAAACNGGCAAACUAGAGUACUGUAGAGGGGGGGUAGAAUUUUCAGGUGNAGCGGUGAAAUGCGUAGAGAUCUGAAGGAAUACCGGUGGCGAAGGCGGCCCCCCUGGACAGAUACUGACACUCAGAUGCGAAAGCGUGGGGAGCAAACAGAUUAGNUACCCUGGUAGCUNGAGU
RNAcentral lists this ribosomal RNA (483 nucleotides) under uncultured bacterium. RNAcentral describes it as "bacterial SSU rRNA". It matches the Rfam family "Bacterial small subunit ribosomal RNA", at positions 335 to 800 of the family's 1533-position model. The record is from RNAcentral.